This 1097-nucleotide long non-coding RNA is filed under the name Gossypium raimondii (Peruvian cotton). RNAcentral's name for it is "long non-coding RNA (GRAI_LNC005963)". The record is from RNAcentral. Lineage: Eukaryota; Viridiplantae; Streptophyta; Magnoliopsida; Malvales; Malvaceae.
UCUGUUACCAAGUAAAAGAAAUGAAUUUCAAGAAAGAAAACCAAACAAAUACAUAAAAUUUGUGAUUUAAGCAAAGUCCCCACUACUUUCAUCAAACAAUAAAUCUCUAAACCUAUGGAAAGAAACAUAAAGCAGACAGUCAGCAGCAAAAUACAAUGAUAUUUACAAGACUUUAAGCAAAAUAAAGAAACAUAAAGAGACAGUAAGCCCUAAAUUCCUCCAAGACUGUCAACAUAAUCUAUGCUAAACUCCAACUCAUUUCCAACCUAUCGUCGCCAACAACAACACAUUUAUUCCAAACAAUUGAAAGCAUUACCUAUAUAAAAUAAAUGAAAGCAUUACAGAAUACGUCCCAUAAACCCAGAAGACGACGAUGGAGACAAAUGAACACAAAAUAAACCGAGAAAUGAAAGCAUUACCUUGACGACGAUGAAGAUAAAUGAAAGGAACGAAAACCCUAUACACAGAGAAGACGAUUUCACUUAAUUUCAGGCUCAUCAACAAAUUACAAACAAAAAAAUUUACAAAAACAAGGAAACCCAAAGUUUAAAUACACGGGCAAAGAAAAAAAUCGAACCUUCUUCGUCUUCACUGUCUGGGUUAUGUAAGUAUGAAAGAAACCGAAACACUGAAGCUUUUCCUUGUAAGGAAUAAACCAAUUGAAGAAUGAUGGGAAAGAAAUCGACAAACUGCUCUCUCUGCCUCUGACUGGUUGGGGAUUUCGAUAGAUAGGGGAUUUGUGGAUUUGGUGCUGGGAGCGGGGAAGAGAUCGCGCUAGAACUCUUUAAAGCAAUUCAGCAAUCAUGGUGCUCGGUAAUCGUUUUUUCACGAACUUAUGCCUUUUCAAGUUGGUGCUUGGAGGAGCUUGCUGAGAUUAUUAAACAACAUAACAACGACGGCCAUAAAGUGUUUCCAAUUUUUUACGAUGUUGAUCCAUCUGAUUUAAGAAAACAAAAAGGGAAAGUGGAAGAAGCCUUUGCCAGACAUGAAGAGAGAUACAAAGAAGAAAGUGAGAAGAUCCAAAGGUGGCGAAAUGCUUUGAUUCAAGUGGCUGCAAUCAAGGGAUGGCAUUUAAAUAACAGGUAAUUCUUUCUUUU